GCGCGAAACCUCCGCAAUGUGAGAAUUCGCGACGGGGGGACCCCAAGUGCCAUUCUUAACGGGAUGGCUUUUCUUAAGUGUAAAAAGCUUUUGGAAUAAGAGCUGGGCAAGACCGGUGCCAGCCGCCGCGGUAACACCGGCAGCUCUAGUGGUAGCCAUUUUUAUUGGGCCUAAAGCGUUCGUAGCCGGUUUAAUAAGUCUCUGGUGAAAUCCCGUAGCUUAACUAUGGGAAUUGCUGGAGAUACUAUUAGGCUUGAGGUCGGGAGAGGUUAGAGGUACUCCCAGGGUAGGGGUGAAAUCCUGUAAUCCUGGGAGGACCACCUGUGGCGAAGGCGUCUAGCUGGAACGAACCUGACGGUGAGAGACGAAAGCUAGGGGCGCGAACC
Molecule: ribosomal RNA, 386 nt
Filed under: uncultured bacterium
Lineage: Bacteria
Description: bacterial SSU rRNA
Rfam family: Archaeal small subunit ribosomal RNA
Source: RNAcentral